RNAcentral lists this long non-coding RNA (4532 nucleotides) under Octopus vulgaris (common octopus). The record is from RNAcentral. Lineage: Eukaryota; Metazoa; Mollusca; Cephalopoda; Octopoda; Octopodidae.
AAUAACAGUAAUAAUAUUUUCUUUUUUUUUGUCACAGGGACAUAGAUGAGUGGGAUAUCACAAGGGUAGCGUACAACCUGUGGGGGGGUUACAUAUAAGAUGGGGGGAACGCAAGGGGAGAGAGUGCGAAAUGAGAUGAAAGUAUACAUAGUAUACAAAGUAUGAGAUAGUAUGAAGAUACAGAAGAAACUCCAACAAGGGCCAACCAAGAAAGCCCAUAGACCCAGGAUUGUCCUGACCACAAACAGAAUGCGCUUUCGCCAACAGUAAUGGCUUCUUUUUUUAGCAACAAGAACUCGAAUGAUGAAUUAAAAUGCAAUAACAAUGAUUCUUAUUCUUUUGUUUCAGUCAUGAGACUGCGGCCAUGCUGGAGCACCGCCUUUUAGUCGACCAAAUCGCCCCCAGGACUUAUUCUUUGUAAGCCUUAGUACUUAUUCUACCGUUAAGUUACGGGGACGUAAACACACUAGCAUCGGUUGUCAAGCGUAUGUUGAGGGGACAAACACAGACACAGAAACAUAUACAUACAUACAUACAUACAUACAUACAUACAUACAUACAUGUAUGUAUAUAUAUAUAUAUAUAUAUAUAUAUAUAUAUAUAUAUAUAUACAUUUAUAUAUACGACUGGCUUCUUUCAGUUUCUGUCAACCAAAUCCACUCAAAAGGCUUUGGUCGGCCCUAGGCAAUAGUAGAAGGCACUUGCCCAAGGUGCCACGCAGUGAGACCGAACUCGGAAUAAUGUUGUUGGUAAGCAAGCUACUUACCACAUAGCCAGUCUACAAAGCCGUGUGAAGUAAAGCAGAUAAAUUAUAUGAAGACAAGAGGAGAUGUGGAUACACACGUGCGUGCUUUAAAUCAUACAUUUCAGAUUAUUUACAAACGUUUUCCUCCUCAAAUUUCUCAAAAUGUAAUUUAAAAUUCAUUAAUCCUAUGACAAAUGUGUCUGUAAGAGAAAGUAUAUCAUACAGAGUAGAUAUAUCUAUAUUACCUUAAUUCGGGACACAAGAUAUGCUUCGAUGUGUUAGAACACAGCAAAUCGGGAUAUUUUAGAGAUACAGUCGUAUUAAAAAAAGAGACAUCAAUUUCAUGAUGAGUUAAUAUAGAGAUAAAUGCCUUUACGUUCUGAGUUCAAAUUCUGUCGAGGUCAACUUUGCCUUUCAUCCCUUCGGGGUCGAUAAAUUAAGUACCAGUUGCGUACUGGGCUCGAUCUAAUCGACUGGCCCUCUCCCCCAAAAUUUCUGACCUUGUGCCUAGAAUAGAAAAGAAUGUAGAGAUGAAAGAACGAAAGAAAAGCGAAUUCCGUUUUACUGAAGCUGUACAAUGCAUUUAAAGUAUUCGAUUAGGCAAGUAAAAGAUACAAAAUGUUCAAUACCAAAGCCACUCCCACCAUACAGCUAUAUUUAAUAAAUAUUUAAACUCACAUACAGACGCAUGCGUACAUGAGUAUGCAUAAUGUAUAUGUUUACCUGUCUAUAUACACUGGGGCGGAUUCUUUUGACCAAAAUUCUUCAAGGUGGUGCCACAACAUGGCCACAGUCUAACGACUGAAACGAGUGACAUAUAUAUAUAUAUAUAUAUAUAUAUAUAUAUAUAUAUAUAUAUCAUAUAUACAUACAUAACUCGUGAUACAGAUGUGAAAAAUCGUAUAGCAAUAUGACAGACGAUAUUGUAUUUAUGUAUUAUGUUUUUUUUUAUUAACAGUCGAUAUACAUAGAUGUGUGUGCGCGUGCGUGUGUACAUUUAUAUGCAUAGUUGAUAUAUAUAUAUAUACACACACACACACAUAGAAUUAUACAUAUAUGUAUGUACAUUCUUUUAUUUGUUUCAGUCAUUUGACUGCGGCCAUGCUGGACCACCGCCUUUAGUCGAACAAAUCGAUCCCAGAACUUAUUCUUUGUGAGCCUAGUACUUAUGCUAUAGGUCUCUUUUGCCGAACUGCUAAGUUACGGGGAUAUAAACACACCAACAUCGGUUGUCAAGCGAUGAUGGGGGGACAAACACAAACACACAAACAUAUAAAUAUAUAUAUAUACGACGGGCUUCUCUCAGUUUCCGUCUACCAAAUCUACUCACAAGGCGUGAGUAGCAGACGCUGGCCCGAGGUUCCACGCAGUGGGACUGAACCCAGAACCAUGUGGUUGGUAAGCAAGCUAUUUACCACACAGCAAUGCCUGCCCUGUAUAUAUAAAGUUUUUGCGGGGAGAAAACUUGGAUGUUUUAUUCAAAUUCUUAUAUGUGAAAACAUUGAUUGUCGGAUUUUUGUUGUAUUGAGCUUAAUUGAUUUAAAUAAGGAAUGGAAUUUUAAUACUUCAUUAAUUGUGAUUUGAUGUUUUUAAAACAAUGCUUAUUAACGUAUGUUUUAAAUCUACUGCUUAAUGAGCUCAGCAAAGCUAUUCAUAUAAACCUGUCUUCCUCAGACAGUUUCGAUCCUCCAUACGUUCAUGCAAAUUAGAAAUGCUUCCUCUUUUAAUUAUUAUUCAUAGACAUUUGCAUGGCACAUUAGAUACACAACACAAUCUUAUUCAAAAGGGCAAUUAAUUUUGUAGCUUUGUCAAAAUUUAAUUAAUAUUGUUUUUUGUUUUUUACUUCAAAUUAUCAAAAUUUAUUAACUUAAUCCAUUGACAUUAGCCAUGUGAAAUCUGCGUGAGACUUAUUUUUAAUUUUAUCAAUAACUAUUUCAAGCCAGUUUUCGUUAUAGUUUGUUUCUUAUGUAGAAUGCGGAGGUUAUUGUAUAAAAUCAUAAAUAGCCAUUUCGUUUACGGAUAUUAGAUUUCAAAACUCUAAUCACCAUUCUAAUUAUCUCAAGCAGCUUUUCACAGCAUAUUUUACAAUUAACAAUUAACAAGAUUCUUGCCAACAAUACUGUUUGGCAAUAUACAAAUGAAAAAUAAGGCGACGAGUUGGCAGAAUCUUAAGCACGCAUUUCGUCCGUAUUUACGUUCUGCGUUCAAAUUCCACUGAAGUCAACUUUGCUACCAUCCUCACUCAAAAUUGCUGGCCUUUGCCAAAAUUUGAAACCAAUAUACAAAUAAAAAAUACGGUACUAAACUUUAGAGUUACCUAGUAACAGUCUGUGAUCUUGUACCUCUUCUAGAAUUCUUAUGUAACAUUAUCGCUCCACAUCAUUCAAGAGGUAAUAUCUCUCGUUUUGGGGGGUGAGAGGGGGUGGGUGGAAUCACUGUGUAAAGGAUGUUGUGCAUAUUUUCCUUUUUAGUCGUCGUCAUCAUCAUCAUUAUCGGAAUACUACUACAUGCUAAUUUAAUUAGCAUGGAAGUUAUCUUGGUGUUUCUUCAAAUCACAAGAAUCUUUCUGGGGAUUCUUGCAAAAACAGGAUGGCAUUUUUCAUAAUAAUAAUAAUAAUAAUAAUAAUAAUAAUAAUAAUAAUAAUGUAUUAUCAUCAUUAUUAUUAUUAUUAUUAAUAUUACUAUUAUUAUUAUUAUUAUUAUUAUUAUUAUUAUUAUUAUUAUUAUUAUUAUUAUUAUUAUUAUUAUUAUUAUUAUUGAUAAGGCGGCGAGCUGGCAGAAUCAUUAGCACGCUGGACGAAAUGAUCAGCGGUAUUUCGUCUGCCAUUACGUUCUGAGUUCAAAUUCCGCCAAAGUCGACUUUGCCUUUCAGGGUCGAUAAAUUAAGUACUAGUUACGCACUGGGGGUCGAGGGAUGUAAUCGACUUAAUCCCUUUCCCCAAAUUUGAGGCAUUGUGCUUCCAGUAGAAAUCUAAAAAUAUUAUUAUUAUUAUUAUCAUCAUCAUCAUUAUCAUCAUCAUCAUUAUCAUCAUUAAUAUUAUUAUUAUUAUCAUUAUUAUUAUUAUUAUUAUUAUUAUCAUUAUUAUUAUUAUCAUUAUUAUUAUUAUCAUUAUUAUUAUUAUUAUUAUUAUUAUUAUUGUUGUUGUUAUUAUUAUUAUUAUUAUUAUCAUUAUUAUUAUUAUUAUUAUUAUUAUUAUUAUUAUUAUUAUUAUUUCUCCUUUGGAUCUACGAAUCUAUGGAUAUAUCAUGAUAUUAGUGUUGUUCCUACAACAAGAGACCAGAAAAUGCUUUUAGUCUUCUCAUUGAAUGUAUUCUUGCUGAAAUCAUAUCUUUUUAUAUGGCAGCUAAUAUGCGGAUUUAUUUAUUUAUUUAUAUUUUUUCUCGUAAAAUAUUUUAUCACAUAUGUAUGUGAAAAUUAUAUGGAAGCAACACAAAGCUGAAAAAUAGCAAAGGAAUAAAUAAAAAAAAACGAAAGAAAAGAAAACUAAAAAAAAUAUUUUAAAAUGUUUAUAUAUAAUUCCUUUCUUCUUUAGCUUUAUGUACAUAUAUAGCCAUUUUGUUUUCUUGCAGUAAUCUUAUUUUGUUUUGCUUUCUAUUCUUUUAAUUUCAUACAAUUAUAAUAGAUGUGUUUCAUAAACGGAAUAUCAAAAAAAUAAAAAAGAAAAAAUAGAAAAAGAAAAAUGUGCUUCGAAGCUGUGUUUUCCCCCUCCAUUUUAGCGACAAAAUGAAACGAUAUGGCAAGGAACAUUCUUCUACGUGUCUUAUAUGGCAUAUAUAUAUAUAAAUA